This 3232-nucleotide ribosomal RNA is filed under the name Salmonella enterica subsp. enterica serovar Derby. Its description in RNAcentral is "bacterial LSU rRNA". It matches the Rfam family "Bacterial large subunit ribosomal RNA". Lineage: Bacteria; Pseudomonadati; Pseudomonadota; Gammaproteobacteria; Enterobacterales; Enterobacteriaceae. The record is from RNAcentral.
ACUAAGCGUACACGGUGGAUGCCCUGGCAGUCAGAGGCGAUGAAGGACGUGCUAAUCUGCGAUAAGCGCCGGUAAGGUGAUAUGAACCGUUAUAACCGGCGAUUUCCGAAUGGGGAAACCCAGUGUGAUUCGUCACACUAUCAUUAACUGAAUCCAUAGGUUAAUGAGGCGAACCGGGGGAACUGAAACAUCUAAGUACCCCGAGGAAAAGAAAUCAACCGAGAUUCCCCCAGUAGCGGCGAGCGAACGGGGAGGAGCCCAGAGCCUGAAUCAGCAUGUGUGUUAGUGGAAGCGUCUGGAAAGGCGCGCGAUACAGGGUGACAGCCCCGUACACAAAAGCGCAUGUGUUGUGAGCUCGAUGAGUAGGGCGGGACACGUGGUAUCCUGUCUGAAUAUGGGGGGACCAUCCUCCAAGGCUAAAUACUCCUGACUGACCGAUAGUGAACCAGUACCGUGAGGGAAAGGCGAAAAGAACCCCGGCGAGGGGAGUGAAAAAGAACCUGAAACCGUGUACGUACAAGCAGUGGGAGCCCCACCACUAAGCCAGUGGUGAACUCCACAUACGCAUCCUUUGCUGAGGAUACGGUUAACGGAGCGCAAGCGACGUUCAACCGCAAAAGAAGCAGAGGGGGCUUAGUGGUGGGGUGACUGCGUACCUUUUGUAUAAUGGGUCAGCGACUUAUAUUCUGUAGCAAGGUUAACCGUAUAGGGGAGCCGGAGGGAAACCGAGUCUUAAUUGGGCGUUAAGUUGCAGGGUAUAGACCCGAAACCCGGUGAUCUAGCCAUGGGCAGGUUGAAGGUUGGGUAACACUAACUGGAGGACCGAACCGACUAAUGUUGAAAAAUUAGCGGAUGACCUGUGGCUGGGGGUGAAAGGCCAAUCAAACCGGGAGAUAGCUGGUUCUCCCCGAAAGCUAUUUAGGUAGCGCCUCGUGAAUUCAUCUCCGGGGGUAGAGCACUGUUUCGGCUAGGGGGCCAUCCCGGCUUACCAACCCGAUGCAAACUGCGAAUACCGGAGAAUGUUAUCACGGGAGACACACGGCGGGUGCUAACGUCCGUCGUGAAGAGGGAAACAACCCAGACCGCCAGCUAAGGUCCCAAAGUCAUGGUUAAGUGGGAAACGAUGUGGGAAGGCCCAGACAGCCAGGAUGUUGGCUUAGAAGCAGCCAUCAUUUAAAGAAAGCGUAAUAGCUCACUGGUCGAGUCGGCCUGCGCGGAAGAUGUAACGGGGCUAAACCAUGCACCGAAGCUGCGGCAGCGAGUAAUAGCUCACUGGUCGAGUCGGCCUGCGCGGAAGAUGUAACGGGGCUAAACCAUGCACCGAAGCUGCGGCAGCGAACGUAUCACUUAAAGCGAUUCAGCGGGUUACGAUUGACGGAGCGAAGCGACGUCAAAGCGUAUACAAAGUCGAGUCGGUUUAAGGAUACGUUCGUUGGGUAGGGGAGCGUUCUGUAAGCCUGUGAAGGUGUGUCGUGAGGCAUGCUGGAGGUAUCAGAAGUGCGAAUGCUNGUUGGGUAGGGGAGCGUUCUGUAAGCCUGUGAAGGUGGCCUGUGAGGGUUGCUGGAGGUAUCAGAAGUGCGAAUGCUGACAUAAGUAACGAUAAAGCGGGUGAAAAGCCCGCUCGCCGGAAGACCAAGGGUUCCUGUCCAACGUUAAUCGGGGCAGGGUGAGUCGACCCCUAAGGCGAGGCCGAAAGGCGUAGUCGAUGGGAAACGGGUUAAUAUUCCCGUACUUGGUGUUACUGCGAAGGGGGGACGGAGAAGGCUAUGUUGGCCGGGCGACGGUUGUCCCGGUUUAAGCGUGUAGGUGUGUGUUCCAGGUAAAUCCGGUUCACUUUAACACUGAGGCGUGAUGACGAGGCACUACGGUGCUGAAGCAACAAAUGCCCUGCUUCCAGGAAAAGCCUCUAAGCAUCAGGUAACAUCAAAUCGUACCCCAAACCGACACAGGUGGUCAGGUAGAGAAUACCAAGGCGCUUGAGAGAACUCGGGUGAAGGAACUAGGCAAAAUGGUGCCGUAACUUCGGGAGAAGGCACGCUGACAUGUAGGUGAAGUGAUUUACUCAUGGAGCUGAAGUCAGUCGAAGAUACCAGCUGGCUGCAACUGUUUAUUAAAAACACAGCACUGUGCAAACACGAAAGUGGACGUAUACGGUGUGACGCCUGCCCGGUGCCGGAAGGUUAAUUGAUGGGGUCAGCGCAAGCGAAGCUCCUGAUCGAAGCCCCGGUAAACGGCGGCCGUAACUAUAACGGUCCUAAGGUAGCGAAAUUCCUUGUCGGGUAAGUUCCGACCUGCACGAAUGGCGUAAUGAUGGCCAGGCUGUCUCCACCCGAGACUCAGUGAAAUUGAACUCGCUGUGAAGAUGCAGUGUACCCGCGGCAAGACGGAAAGACCCCGUGAACCUUUACUAUAGCUUGACACUGAACAUUGAGCCUUGAUGUGUAGGAUAGGUGGGAGGCUUUGAAGUGUGGACGCCAGUCUGCAUGGAGCCGACCUUGAAAUACCACCCUUUAAUGUUUGAUGUUCUAACGUGGACCCGUAAUCCGGGUUGCGGACAGUGUCUGGUGGGUAGUUUGACUGGGGCGGUCUCCUCCUAAAGAGUAACGGAGGAGCACGAAGGUUGGCUAAUCCUGGUCGGACAUCAGGAGGUUAGUGCAAUGGCAUAAGCCAGCUUGACUGCGAGCGUGACGGCGCGAGCAGGUGCGAAAGCAGGUCAUAGUGAUCCGGUGGUUCUGAAUGGAAGGGCCAUCGCUCAACGGAUAAAAGGUACUCCGGGGAUAACAGGCUGAUACCGCCCAAGAGUUCAUAUCGACGGCGGUGUUUGGCACCUCGAUGUCGGCUCAUCACAUCCUGGGGCUGAAGUAGGUCCCAAGGGUAUGGCUGUUCGCCAUUUAAAGUGGUACGCGAGCUGGGUUUAGAACGUCGUGAGACAGUUCGGUCCCUAUCUGCCGUGGGCGCUGGAGAACUGAGGGGGGCUGCUCCUAGUACGAGAGGACCGGAGUGGACGCAUCACUGGUGUUCGGGUUGUCAUGCCAAUGGCACUGCCCGGUAGCUAAAUGCGGAAGAGAUAAGUGCUGAAAGCAUCUAAGCACGAAACUUGCCCCGAGAUGAGUUCUCCCUGAGACUUAAAGUCUCCUGAAGGAACGUUGAAGACGACGACGUUGAUAGGCCGGGUGUGUAAGCGCAGCGAUGCGUUGAGCUAACCGGUACUAAUGAACCGUGAGGCUUAACC